AGCGAACAGAUGAGAAGCUUGCUUCUCUGAUGUUAGCGGCGGACGGGUGAGUAACACGUGGGUAACCUACCUAUAAGACUGGGAUAACUCCGGGAAACCGGGGCUAAUACCUGAUAAUAUUUUGAACCGCAUGGUUCAAUAGUGAAAGACGGCUUCGGCUGUCACUUAUAGAUGGACCCGCGCCGUAUUAGCUAGUUGGUAAGGUAAUGGCUUACCAAGGCAACGAUACGUAGCCGACCUGAGAGGGUGAUCGGCCACACUGGAACUGAGACACGGUCCAGACUCCUACGGGAGGCAGCAGUAGGGAAUCUUCCGCAAUGGGCGAAAGCCUGACGGAGCAACGCCGCGUGAGUGAUGAAGGUCUUAGGAUCGUAAAACUCUGUUGUUAGGGAAGAACAAAUUUGUUAGUAACUGAACAAGUCUUGACGGUACCUAACCAGAAAGCCACGGCUAACUACGUGCCAGCAGCCGCGGUAAUACGUAGGUGGCAAGCGUUAUCCGGAAUUAUUGGGCGUAAAGCGCGCGUAGGCGGUUUCUUAAGUCUGAUGUGAAAGUCCACGGCUCAACCGUGGAAGGUCAUUGGAAACUGGGGAACUUGAGUGCAGAAGAGGAGAGUGGAAUUCCAUGUGUAGCGGUGAAAUGCGCAGAGAUAUGGAGGAACACCAGUGGCGAAGGCGGCUCUCUGGUCUGUAACUGACGCUGAUGUGCGAAAGCGUGG
This 718-nucleotide ribosomal RNA is filed under the name Mammaliicoccus vitulinus. Its description in RNAcentral is "bacterial SSU rRNA". It matches the Rfam family "Bacterial small subunit ribosomal RNA", at positions 65 to 764 of the family's 1533-position model. The record is from RNAcentral. Lineage: Bacteria; Bacillati; Bacillota; Bacilli; Caryophanales; Staphylococcaceae.